UUUGUGGGGUGCUCGAGUGGCGAACGGGUGAGUAACACGUGAGUAACCUGCCCUUGACUUUGGGAUAACUUCAGGAAACUGGGGCUAAUACCGGAUAGGAGCUCCCGCUGCAUGGUGGGGGUUGGAAAGUUUCGGCGGUUGGGGAUGGACUCGCGGCUUAUCAGCUUGUUGGUGGGGUAGUGGCUUACCAAGGCUUUGACGGGUAGCCGGCCUGAGAGGGUGACCGGCCACGUUGGGACUGAGAUACGGCCCAG
This 254-nucleotide ribosomal RNA is filed under the name uncultured Actinomycetales bacterium. RNAcentral's name for it is "partial 16S ribosomal RNA". It matches the Rfam family "Bacterial small subunit ribosomal RNA", at positions 79 to 334 of the family's 1533-position model. Lineage: Bacteria; Bacillati; Actinomycetota; Actinomycetes; Actinomycetales. The record is from RNAcentral.